This 253-nucleotide ribosomal RNA is filed under the name uncultured bacterium. RNAcentral's name for it is "partial 16S ribosomal RNA". It matches the Rfam family "Bacterial small subunit ribosomal RNA", at positions 524 to 776 of the family's 1533-position model. The record is from RNAcentral.
UACGUAGGUGGCAAGCGUUGUCCGGAUUUACUGGGCGUAAAGCGUGCGCAGGCGGCCAUGCAAGACAGAUGUGAAAUCCCCGGGCUCAACCUGGGAACUGCAUUUGUGACUGCAUGGCUCGAGUACGGCAGAGGGGGAUGGAAUUCCGCGUGUAGCAGUGAAAUGCGUAGAUAUGCGGAGGAACACCGAUGGCGAAGGCAAUCCCCUGGGCCUGUACUGACGCUCAUGCACGAAAGCGUGGGGAGCAAACAGG